AUACGGAGGGUGCGAGCGUUGUUCGGAAUUACUGGGCGUAAAGGGCGCGCAGGCGGCUUGAUAAGUCAGAUGUGAAAGCCCACGGCUCAACCGUGGAAGUGCAUCUGAAACUGUCUGGCUUGAGUACUGGAGAGGAAAGUGGAAUUCCUGGUGUAGAGGUGAACUUCGUAGAUAUCAGGAGGAACACCGGUGGCGAAGGCGACUUCCUGGACAGAUACUGACGCUGAGGCGCGAAAGCGUGGGGAGCAAACAGGAUUAGAAACCCGAGUAGUCC
Molecule: ribosomal RNA, 274 nt
Filed under: uncultured bacterium
Lineage: Bacteria
Description: partial 16S ribosomal RNA
Rfam family: Bacterial small subunit ribosomal RNA
Source: RNAcentral